GAUGAACGCUGACAGACUGUUUAACACAUGCAAGUCUACUUGAUCCUUCGGGUGAUGGUCGCUGACGGGUGAGUAACGCGUAAAGAACUUGCCCUGCAGUCUGGGACAACAUUUGGAAACGAAUGCUAAUACCGGAUAUUAUGUAUUUCUCGCAUGAGUUUUACAUGAAAGCUAUAUGCGCUGCAGGAGAGCUUUGCGUCCUAUUAGCUAGUUGGUGAGGUAACGGCUCACCAAGGCGAUGAUAGGUAGCCGGCCUGAGAGGGUGAACGGCCACAAGGGGACUGAGACACGGCCCUUACUCCUACGGGAGGCAGCAGUGGGGAAUAUUGGACAAUGGACCAAAAGUCUGAUCCAGCAAUUCUGUGUGCACGAUGAAGUUUUUCGGAAUGUAAAGUGCUUUCAGUUGGGACGAAGUAAGUGACGGUACCAACAGAAGAAGCGACGGCUAAAUACGUGCCAGCAGCCGCGGUAAUACGUAUGUCGCAAGCGUUAUCCGGAUUUAUUGGGCGUAAAGCGCGUCUAGGCGGUUUGGUAAGUCUGAUGUGAAAAUGCGGGGCUCAACUCCGUAUUGCGUUGGAAACUGCCAAACUAGAGUACUGGAGAGGUGGGCGGAACUACAAGUGUAGAGGUGAAAUUCGUAGAUAUUUGUAGGAAUGCCGAUGGGGAAGCCAGCCCACUGGACAGAUACUGAC
Molecule: ribosomal RNA, 692 nt
Filed under: uncultured bacterium
Lineage: Bacteria
Description: bacterial SSU rRNA
Rfam family: Bacterial small subunit ribosomal RNA
Source: RNAcentral